This 484-nucleotide ribosomal RNA is filed under the name uncultured bacterium. RNAcentral describes it as "partial 16S ribosomal RNA". It matches the Rfam family "Bacterial small subunit ribosomal RNA", at positions 29 to 507 of the family's 1533-position model. The record is from RNAcentral.
AUUGAACGCUGGCGGCAUGCUUUACACAUGCAAGUCGAACGGCAGCGCGGGCUUCGGCCUGGCGGCGAGUGGCGAACGGGUGAGUAAUGCAUCGGAACGUGCCCAGUAGUGGGGGAUAGCCCGGCGAAAGCCGGAUUAAUACCGCAUACGACCUGAGGGUGAAAGCGGGGGACCGAAAGGCCUCGCGCUAUUGGAGCGGCCGAUGUCGGAUUAGCUAGUUGGUGGGGUAAAGGCUUACCAAGGCGACGAUCCGUAGCUGGUCUGAGAGGACGACCAGCCAAAAGGGAAUUGAGAAACGGCCCAGACUCCGACGGGGGCAAGCGUUGGGGAAUUUGGGACAUGGGGGGCAGCCCGAACCCAGCCAUGCCGCGGGGGGGAAGAAGGCUUGCGGGUUUAAAACGGCUUUUGUUGGGGAAGAAAUCCACGGGGCUAAUCCCCGGGGGGUAGGACGGGACCGAAAUAAAAAGCACGGGCUAACGCCGUG